GCGGGUGUGGUGGAAUUGGUAGACACGCUAGAUUUAGGAUCUAGUGCCGCGAGGCGUGGGGGUUCGAGUCCCUUCACCCGCA
Molecule: transfer RNA, 82 nt
Filed under: Saprospiraceae bacterium
Lineage: Bacteria; Pseudomonadati; Bacteroidota; Saprospiria; Saprospirales; Saprospiraceae
Description: tRNA-Leu
Rfam family: tRNA
About the family: Transfer RNA (tRNA) molecules are approximately 80 nucleotides in length. Their secondary structure includes four short double-helical elements and three loops (D, anti-codon, and T loops). Further hydrogen bonds mediate the characteristic L-shaped molecular structure. tRNAs have two regions of fundamental functional importance: the anti-codon, which is responsible for specific mRNA codon recognition, and the 3' end, to which the tRNAs corresponding amino acid is attached (by aminoacyl-tRNA synthetases). tRNAs cope with the degeneracy of the genetic code in two manners: having more than one tRNA (with a specific anti-codon) for a particular amino acid; and 'wobble' base-pairing, i.e. permitting non-standard base-pairing at the 3rd anti-codon position.
Source: RNAcentral